RNAcentral lists this long non-coding RNA (2519 nucleotides) under Macaca fascicularis (crab-eating macaque). RNAcentral's name for it is "lncRNA (ENSMFAG00000048365.1)". Lineage: Eukaryota; Metazoa; Chordata; Mammalia; Primates; Cercopithecidae. The record is from RNAcentral.
GUUUCCAGAAGUGUGCCCUCAUCGCCACCCUGGGGCUGUGCUGUGGAAGGGCCUUCUCUUCCUGCAGCGUUGCUUCAGGACCCCAGGCUGGUCACGUUGGGCUCCUGUCCCCAUGUCAGCCUCACCCUCUCUUCCUGGCCCUCACCUGGCGGUUUCCUCAGUGGCUUCGGGUUGUCCCUCUGCCCCAGAUGUCCGGUUUCUUCCUUGAAUUUCAGCUCUAGUGUUCUUUCUUCUCCCCACCAUCCUCCAUCUCCCACAUGCCGCUGGCCUUGCUCGGUGUACCAGGGCUUCAGCUGCCUGGAGGGUACAGGCUGGGGCUGGGGCUGGGGCCUGGACGGCUUCUACAGGGAGGUGGGAAUGUAGAAUCUCCUUCAGAGAGUGUACGGCCAUCUCACCACCCGCCAAGGCCAGUCGCUCCUGUUCCCUUUCCUGUAGAGACACACGCUGCACGCCACCUCCUACGUGUGGGGUCUGCACACUCCUAUGUUCGGGAGGCCUGCGUCCCCACACCCGCGACGUGGAGGGGCCUGCGUUCCACACCCACGACGGGGGAAGGCCUGCUCCACACCUGCGCGGGAGGGGCUGCGCUCCACGCCGGGGAGACUCUGCUCCACGCCUGCGCUGUGGAGGGGCCUGCGCCGCCCCCUCCCCCAUGCAGGGGGUUAGAGUCUUUCUCUGCACCUUUCCUCUCCAGGGAAGAGCUGCCGGUGCCUGCAAUGGCGUGGCCAUGGUGACGGCACCACAUUGGAAGGACUCCUAAUAUGGAACCCUGUUAUGCUCCAGUCGUCUGGAAGGAAUGCCACCAUAGCCCCUACCUAUUCCUCCUCCCCUUUUUAUCAGCAAACUAACAUCCCACGCAUUAAGCCUUGGUCCAGGAAUAAUCAGCACAGACCGGAGGUUUCCUUUGAAACUGCGUGUAUGAAACACAGAACUGUAUGUAUCAUUGUAUUGUGUGGCAUGCUGGAAAGAAAGCAAAAGAGUUGCGUAGGUUAAUGUGUGUUCCCGAAUUUCUUCUGCCACCUGCACUCAGUGAGCGGCUGGGGGCCAUCUGUGUUUGUCCGCACCGGCCGUCUCUCCACGUGCCCUCCCCUGGGGAAUCCCAGCCGCCAGUGGCCAGGGAAGUUGGGUCUGGAGGAAGGGACCUCUUGACUUCUCCAGGGGAGGCUCAGAGGCACAGUCCUCGCUGGCGAGCUCCAGGUGGAGGAAGGCAGACGACGCACAGCCAGGCAGCGGGUGUGGACUGAAACCAGCCCGUAAACCCCCACGCCGGCCCCCCACCACAAUUAAUUCAUUAAUGCCGGAAACCACCAUUGCAUUGUUUUCUUGUAAUUAUACACACCUCAAACGCUUGCUUUUGAAGACAUUUAAUUGCAUGAUUAGUUUUAUGAUUUCUGAUUACCAAUUAGGUUACUUUUUGUGUAUUUCAUACAUACCAUUAGGCUUUAUGGUACAGCUUUUGUAAUUUCUCACCUAGCAGGGGUUCUCACACAUUUGAAGGCUACAUUAUCCACUCAAUAAACAGAGAGAGUUUAAUUUUCUGUGUAAAGUAUUGGUGUGGACUUGGGAAGAUGAUGUUUCAGAUAUUAUGCUAUCAAGAGUGACAUUUAAUUUUACAGGGGAAAAGUCUUGGUUUUCACUGUCAUAACGAUGUUCACAGAGCAUGGCUUUAGAGAUGGGAAGAGGCCGGGUCCGAUGGGUCUGUGUCUGUGGCGUGGAUGGAGCUGUCAUCUCCCUUCUCUGAGGAAGAUAUUUCUAAUCACUCUACUCUUUACUCCGACUUGUUAAUAUAUUUAAUUUACUUGCGCCUUGCCUCUUUCCCAAGAAUAGUUAGAAAGCAUUUGGUGCUGUUGGGUUUCCUGUGCAAAGUUCCUUGGAGGUUCCAUGCGCUCUGAUCUGAAAUCACAGGGCUAGGUGUGCACUGUGGCGGAGACAGGGGCACAGGACUCUUAAACAUGCUCUUGUGAGGUCGGAUAAGAAACCAAACACCGCAUGUUCCCACUCAUAGGUGGGAAUUGAACAAUGAGAUCACUUGGACACAGGAAGGGGAAUAUCACACACCGGGGCCUAUUGUGGGGUGAGGGGAGGGGGGAGGGAUAGCAUUAGGAGAGAUACCUAAUGUAAAUGACAAGUUAAUGGGUGCAGCACACCAACAUGGCACAUGUAUACAUAUGUAACAAACCUGCACGUUGUGCACAUGUACCCUAGAACUUAAAGUAUAAUGAAAAAAAAAAUUAAAAAAAAAAGUAAUCCCAGCACUUUGGGAGGCUGAAGUGGGCAGAUCACAAGGUCAGGAGUUCAAGACCAGCCUGACCAACAUGGUGAAACCCUGUCUCUACUAAAAAUACAAAAAUUAGCUGGGCAUGGUGAUGCCUGCCUGUAAUCCCAGCUACUCAGGAGGCUGAGGCUGGAGAAUCACUUGAAUACGGGAGGCAGAAGUUGCGGUGAGCCGAGAUUGUGCCACUGCACUCCAGCCUAGAUGACAGAGCGAGACACUGUCUCAAAAAAAAAAAAAAAAAAAA